Molecule: long non-coding RNA, 672 nt
Filed under: Homo sapiens (human)
Lineage: Eukaryota; Metazoa; Chordata; Mammalia; Primates; Hominidae
Description: non-protein coding lnc-NPBWR2-2:1
Source: RNAcentral
GGGGGAGGGGAGGGGAUGGGGUCAGGAAGGUAGAAGAGGGGCGGGGUCAGGUGGGGCAGGUGGUGGCAGGGACCAGUGGGGCAGGUGGGGGACACAGACAGGUUGGGCAGGUGAGGACAGGGGCAGGUGGGGCAGGUGGGGACAGGGACAGGUGGGGCAGGUCGGGGAAAGGGGUAGGUGGGGCAGGUGGUGGCAGGGGCCAGUGGAGCAGGUGGGGGACACAGACAAGUGGGGCAGGUGGGGGACACAGACAAGUGGGGCAGGUGGAGCAGGUGGGGGACACAGGUGGGGCAUGUGGGGCAGGUAGGGGAAAGGGGUAGGUGGGGCAGGUGGUGGCAGGGACCAGAGGGGCAGGUGGGGGACACAGACAGGUUGGGCAGGUGGGGACAGGGGCAGGUGGGACAGGUGAGGACAGGGGCAGGUGGGGGACAGGAACAGGUGAGGACAUGAACAGGUGGGCAGGACAAGGAUAGGCAGGGACAGGGGCAGGUGGGGGCAGGGGUAGGUGGGGCAGGUGAGGACAGGGACAAGUGGGGCAGGUAGGGACAGGAACAGGUGGGGACAGGGGCAGGUGGGGCAGGUUGGGCACAGGGAUGGGUGGGGCAGGUGGGGCAGGUGGGGACAGGAUGGGGACAGGGGCAGAUGGGAAAGGUGGGGACAGGAGCAGGUGGG